UACGAAGGGGGCUAGCGUUGCUCGGAAUCACUGGGCGUAAAGCGCACGUAGGCGGAUUGUUAAGUCAGGGGUGAAAUCCUGGAGCUCAACUCCAGAACUGCCUUUGAUACUGGCGAUCUUGAGUCCGGGAGAGGUGGGUGGAACUGCGAGUGUAGAGGUGAAAUUCGUAGAUAUUCGCAAGAACACCAGUGGCGAAGGCGGCUCACUGGCCCGGUACUGACGCUGAGGUGCGAAAGCGUGGGGAGCAAACAGG
RNAcentral lists this ribosomal RNA (253 nucleotides) under uncultured bacterium. Its description in RNAcentral is "partial 16S ribosomal RNA". It matches the Rfam family "Bacterial small subunit ribosomal RNA", at positions 524 to 776 of the family's 1533-position model. The record is from RNAcentral.